AUAAAGGUAAGCUAAAGAAAGCUAGCGGGUUCAUACCCCGUUUAUGGACAAAAAAAUUCCCCUUUUUA
RNAcentral lists this transfer RNA (68 nucleotides) under Teredorus nigropennis. RNAcentral describes it as "tRNA-Met". The record is from RNAcentral. RNAcentral also lists the same sequence under 1 other name. Lineage: Eukaryota; Metazoa; Arthropoda; Insecta; Orthoptera; Tetrigidae.